This 506-nucleotide ribosomal RNA is filed under the name uncultured bacterium. RNAcentral's name for it is "partial 16S ribosomal RNA". It matches the Rfam family "Bacterial small subunit ribosomal RNA", at positions 29 to 523 of the family's 1533-position model. The record is from RNAcentral.
AGUGAACGCAGGCGGUAGGCCUAACACAUGCAAGUCGAACGGCAGCACAGGAGAGCUUGCUCUCUGGGUGGCGAGUGGCGGACGGGUGAGGAAUACAUCGGAAUCUACUUUUUCGUGGGGGAUAACGUAGGGAAACUUACGCUAAUACCGCAUACGACCUACGGGUGAAAGCAGGGGACCUUCGGGCCUUGCGCGAUUGAAUGAGCCGAUGUCGGAUUAGCUAGUUGGCGGGGUAAAGGCCCACCAAGGCGACGAUCCGUGGCUGGUCUGAGAGUAUGAUCAGCCACACUGGAACUGAGACACGGUCCAGACUCCUACGGGAGGCAGCAGUGGGGAAUAUUGGACAAUGGGCGCAAGCCUGAUCCAGCCAUACCGCGUGGGUGAAGAAGGCCUUCGGGUUGUAAAGCCCUUUUGUUGGGAAAGAAAUCCAGCUGGCUAAUACCCGGUUGGGAUGACGGUACCCAAAGAAUAAGCACCGGCUAACUUCGUGCCAGCCGCCGCCGUAA